GUCGAACGGACUCAUAUUGAAACCUAGUGAUUUAUGAGUUAGUGGCGCACUGGUGAGUAACGCGUGGAUAACCUGCCGUAUACCGGGGGAUAACACUUAGAAAUAGGUGCUAAUACCGCAUAAGCGCACGGCUCCGCAUGGGGCAGUGUGAAAAACUCCGGUGGUAUACGAUGGAUCCGCGUCUGAUUAGCUAGUUGGCGGGGUAACGGCCCACCAAGGCAGCGAUCAGUAGCCGGCCUGAGAGGGUGGACGGCCACAUUGGGACUGAGACACGGCCCAAACUCCUACGGGAGGCAGCAGUGGGGAAUAUUGCACAAUGGGGGAAACCCUGAUGCAGCGACGCCGCGUGAGUGAAGAAGUAUCUCGGUACGUAAAGCUCUAUCAGCAGGGAAGAAAAUGACGGUACCUGACUAAGAAGCCCCGGCUAACUACGUGCCAGCAGCCGCGGUAAUACGUAGGGGGCAAGCGUUAUCCGGAUUUACUGGGUGUAAAGGGAGCGUAGACGGCAGCACAAGUCUGGAGUGAAAUCCCGGGGCUUAACCCCGGAACUGCUUUGGAAACUGUGCGGCUGGAGUGCAGGAGGGGUAAGCGGAAUUCCUAGUGUAGCGGUGAAAUGCGUAGAUAUUAGGAGGAACACCGGUGGCGAAGGCGGCUUACUGGACUGUAACUGACGUUGAGGCUCGAAAGCGUGGGGAGCAAACAGGAUUAGAUACCCUGGUAGUCCACGCCGUAAACGAUGAUUACUAGGUGUCGGGGGAUCAAGGUCCUCCGGUGCCGGCGCAAACGCAUUAAGUAAUCCACCUGGGGAGUACG
Molecule: ribosomal RNA, 813 nt
Filed under: uncultured bacterium
Lineage: Bacteria
Description: bacterial SSU rRNA
Rfam family: Bacterial small subunit ribosomal RNA
Source: RNAcentral